This 76-nucleotide transfer RNA is filed under the name Listeria monocytogenes. Its description in RNAcentral is "tRNA-Asn". It matches the Rfam family "tRNA". Rfam says of the family: Transfer RNA (tRNA) molecules are approximately 80 nucleotides in length. Their secondary structure includes four short double-helical elements and three loops (D, anti-codon, and T loops). The record is from RNAcentral. Lineage: Bacteria; Bacillati; Bacillota; Bacilli; Caryophanales; Listeriaceae.
UUCUCAGUAGCUCAGUUGGUAGAGCAAUCGGCUGUUAACCGAUCGGUCGCAGGUUCGAGUCCUGCCUGUGGAGCCA